This 482-nucleotide ribosomal RNA is filed under the name uncultured bacterium. Its description in RNAcentral is "bacterial SSU rRNA". It matches the Rfam family "Bacterial small subunit ribosomal RNA", at positions 33 to 507 of the family's 1533-position model. The record is from RNAcentral.
ACGACGCUGGCGGCAUGCCUAACACAUGCAAGUCGAACGGGAACUUGUUUGAAGGAAGUUUUCGGAUGGAAUUUGACAAGUUUAGUGGCGGACGGGCGAGUAACGCGUGAAUAACCUGCCCAUAAGAGGGGGAUAACACAGAGAAAUUUGUGCUAAUACCGCAUAUUGAAUUAUAAUCGCAUGAUUUUAAUUUGAAAGAUUUUAUCGCUUAUGGAUGGAUUCGCGUAAGAUUAGCUAGUUGGUGAGGUAACGGCUCACCAAGGCGACGAUCUUUAGCCGAACUGAGAGGUUGAUCGGCCGCAUUGGGACUGAGACACGGCCCAGACUCCUACGGGAGGCAGCAGUGGGGGAUAUUGCGCAAUGGGGGCAACCCUGACGCAGCAACGCCGCGUGCGGGAAGAAGGUCUUCGGAUUGUAAACCGUUGUCGCAAGGGAAGAAGACAGUGACGGUACCUUGUGAGAAAGCCACGGCUAACUACGUG